GGGACACUAUUUGGUCAUGGAGAUUGAGGCAGAGGUCACAUGUCUUACACUUCAACUUCUAACUCGUUUGUCACAUAUUCAGUACACCUGAAUACAAUUUGUUAUAGUUGUAAUGCUACUGGUCAUCUUUCUAAAUAAUGACCCACUCUAAGAAAUAACUGUGACACCCCUCACCCGUUUACAGUGUAGCCGAGCAAGACAUG
This 203-nucleotide unclassified non-coding RNA is filed under the name Hevea brasiliensis (rubber tree). The record is from RNAcentral. Lineage: Eukaryota; Viridiplantae; Streptophyta; Magnoliopsida; Malpighiales; Euphorbiaceae.